This 77-nucleotide transfer RNA is filed under the name Gammaproteobacteria bacterium. Its description in RNAcentral is "tRNA-Pro". It matches the Rfam family "tRNA". From Rfam's summary of the family: Transfer RNA (tRNA) molecules are approximately 80 nucleotides in length. Their secondary structure includes four short double-helical elements and three loops (D, anti-codon, and T loops). RNAcentral also lists the same sequence under 3 other names. Lineage: Bacteria; Pseudomonadati; Pseudomonadota; Gammaproteobacteria. The record is from RNAcentral.
CGGGCAUUAGCGCAGUCUGGUAGCGCACUACUUUCGGGAAGUAGGGGUCGCAGGUUCAAAUCCUGCAUGCCCGACCA